This 73-nucleotide transfer RNA is filed under the name Loxodonta africana (African savanna elephant). It matches the Rfam family "tRNA". Rfam says of the family: Transfer RNA (tRNA) molecules are approximately 80 nucleotides in length. Their secondary structure includes four short double-helical elements and three loops (D, anti-codon, and T loops). Lineage: Eukaryota; Metazoa; Chordata; Mammalia; Proboscidea; Elephantidae. The record is from Rfam by way of RNAcentral.
GCAUCGGUGGCUCAGUUGGUAAAGUACUAGGCUUUUAAUCUGAGGGUCCAGGGUUUAAGGCCCUGUUCAGGCA